UACGUAGGGACCGAGCGUUGUCCGGAAUCAUUGGGCGUAAAGAGCGUGUAGGCGGCUAUUUAAGUCCUGCGUGAAAUCCUGCGGCUCAACCGCAGACGGUCGUGGGAAACUGGAUGGCUAGAGUGCGGGAGAGGAGAGUGGAAUUCCCGGUGUAGCGGUGAAAUGCGCAGAUAUCGGGAAGAACACCCGUGGCGAAGGCGGCUCUCUGGAACGCAACUGACGCUGAGACGCGAAAGCGUGGGGAGCAAACGGG
RNAcentral lists this ribosomal RNA (253 nucleotides) under uncultured bacterium. RNAcentral's name for it is "partial 16S ribosomal RNA". It matches the Rfam family "Bacterial small subunit ribosomal RNA", at positions 524 to 776 of the family's 1533-position model. The record is from RNAcentral.